UAAGGACCUUGGCUUAACAGAAUUUAACAGAAAAACGAAAUUGUGGGGUUCGCACAAUUCAUAUCCAGCAACAGCAUGGUUUACAAAAAAUUCACGCUGAACCAAACGAGCUCAUUUUGUAAUUUGGCGUCCCCGGUAAUAUUAAAACAACAAAAGUUACAGCUCAGACUGAGAAACCCUGGGACAUUAUGCAUACGCCACUGAGCUGAGUUGAGGAAAUGUGGAGUAACUGCACGUCGGCCAAGAAAUAUCCUACGCCACCUAAGUCAGCUCCUGAAUUUCUCACAAUUCGCUGUCAAAACGAGACUAUGUACAAGGAAAACCAAAACUAUCCAUACAGCCUUCGUUUGGCCCUCUGUCUAUUUCAAGUAACUCCAGUAAGGCACAAUAUCAGUAUUGUUCCGAUCAACGAUUGAAACGAUAUCCUUUAAUCGAAGGUUAACUUAUGUGUACAAUUUUACGCCUUGGGGCGACGGAAUUGAUUUUCUCGCUGAAACAGAGUCGACUAUGAUUUCAGUAAAGAUGCACAAUUUUACUGUUUAUUGUCUGGUUUCCAAUAAAUCAGUGUGGCAAAGCGGUGAACAGAGUAAUGUAGUGCUGGUACACAGAUGACACGCAUCGUAAGAAUGGAGAUGAAUUGGUGACAGCAAAGCCACCAACUCAGAAUGGAAAGAGAUUGGGGAAGAACUGAAAAUCAUGACAAAGCGGAGGUACCGAAAGUGGACUUAUGAUAGGUCAUAAAAGUCAUAUAUGGCAGAAUCCUGAUCAAGUGGUGAAGGUUUAAGAUUCCAUUGAAUCACCAUGUCACGGUGGAUUCUUCAUCAAAACCCUUUACCCCUAAAUUGUGCAUGCUUAUCCUCGCAAAGGUUUAACACUUAAAGCAAGUUAAUAAAGAGGCAACCUCAAAAUAUUCUGAAUCAUUUC
Molecule: long non-coding RNA, 924 nt
Organism: Stylophora pistillata
Lineage: Eukaryota; Metazoa; Cnidaria; Anthozoa; Scleractinia; Pocilloporidae
Source: RefSeq, a predicted model, not a curated record